AAGGAGUUUGAUUCUUGCUUAUUAUAGUGGAAAUUUAUUUUAUAUGUGAUAAUUAGAAUUUUUAAACUAUAAGUUUAAAAAAAAGAUGCGAGCAGUAGUUGAUAUUAUAAAUAAAAAUAUUUUUGAUAUAGUAUUAUUUCUGAAGUUGAAUAAGAAUGUGCCAGCAUUUGCGGUUAUACAUUUGACUUUAAUCUAUUGUGUUGAUUUUCAGUUAAUAUUUUCUUGAUUUUUGAUUAGUUUGUAGGUGAAAUUUUAAUGGUAUUAAAUAGGAUUGAUUCUGGUUAAUCCUGUAAGUGGACUAGGAUUAGAUACCCUAUUACUAGGGAAAAUAUAAUGGGGAAAGAGUGAAAGAGAAAAGAUAUGUAAUGUUAAGGUAGUAUUAAUUAUGUUAUUUGAAACUUAAAGAAUUUGGCGGUGUCUAUGAUCUGUUUAGAGGAGUCUGUCAGUUAAUUGAUAUUCCGCGUUGAAACUUACUUUAUUUAAGAGUUUAUAUAUCGUCGUAGAGAUAAUAUUAAUAGGUUAUUUUUUUUUUCAUUAAGAUAAUUUCAGAUCCAGGUGUAGCUAUAAUGAAGUGGUGAUGGAUUACAAUAAGUGUUUAUAACGGAUGAUUGGAUUGGAAAAAUGAUUGGUUUGAAGGUGGAUUUGAGAGUAAUUUUUUGUAGAUUGUUAGGGUGAAUGAUGCUCUGAGAUGUGUACAUAUUGCCCGUCACUCUCAUUUAAGAUGAGAUAAGUCGUAACAUAGUAAUUGUAUCGGAAGAUGUAGUUGGUUUAUU
RNAcentral lists this non-coding RNA (773 nucleotides) under Nocticola sp. JW1 9/1. Lineage: Eukaryota; Metazoa; Arthropoda; Insecta; Blattodea; Nocticolidae. The record is from RNAcentral.